Pelobates fuscus (common spadefoot toad) is the source of this 363-nucleotide long non-coding RNA. RefSeq lists it as uncharacterized. NCBI's taxonomy places the organism in Eukaryota, Metazoa, Chordata, Amphibia, Anura, Pelobatidae. The transcript is spliced from 3 exons. The record is from RefSeq and is a predicted model, not a curated record.
GAAAUGGGGAUUGCACAGUGAUACUGAAUUGCUAGAGACCAGUGCUUUACGCAAGAAUAAUACAUAUUCUCCACCCCCUCAGAAAUGUUCCGCUGAAAUAGAUUAUAAACAAGACCAUGACUAUGAAGAUAUGGAGACUGAGCUGAAGAUGCUACGUGUGACAAAUAAGAAAGCUUUUUAAAACUUGCAAAGAUGAAUUCUCACCUGGAGAAAAGAACAUUCUUUACUGUAACCAUUGUCCUAUUCUUGAUCUUCAGUUGCUAGAGUGCUUCAAAUCUAUAUGUAUAUAUACAUUGAAACAGAAAAUGACAAAUGUUACGCCUCAAUGUCUCAAUUCUCAAUCACAAUUAGAAUCUGCUGAUU